Long non-coding RNA from Drosophila miranda, 300 nucleotides. RefSeq lists it as uncharacterized. The record is from RefSeq and is a predicted model, not a curated record. Lineage: Eukaryota; Metazoa; Arthropoda; Insecta; Diptera; Drosophilidae. The transcript has 2 exons.
GUUCUUUCCAAUUUUACUCGCGAUCCCAGACGGACGUCUGAGGAAAAUACUCAAGUAGUGCAGUGAAAGGAAAAAUUCUAACCUCGACCGUAAUUACCGCGUGUCCAUCGUGGCUAAGAUCUAGUCAAAAGAUCAGCCGACCAUUCCUACGUUUAUUAAGCGAAGGCCGAACCCAUCGGGUUUGGCCGUACGUAAUACCGUACGAAACGCCGGUCGUAGUGCCGUAAGCCAUACCCACUACAGUCUCGUCACCUUACCACACAUAUAAAUACCCAGCGUCCCGAUCGACUACAGUAUGUG